Gouania willdenowi (blunt-snouted clingfish) is the source of this 1656-nucleotide long non-coding RNA. NCBI's taxonomy places the organism in Eukaryota, Metazoa, Chordata, Actinopteri, Blenniiformes, Gobiesocidae. The record is from Ensembl.
AUGAACGACAUAAUUCCAGAAUGCUCAGAAGAGCUCUAUGAUUCCUUAGAUAGUGGAGAAGAAUACAUUCCCAACUCUGAGUCAAGUGAAGAUAGCUUAUCAGAUGUUAGUUCAGUUACCAUAGCUAAACUGAGUCCAAGGAAGAAAGUCCUCCGAGACAUUGCUUCUACAUCAAAACAUAUUGUUCCUGACAGCACUAUUGUAAAUGAGGAAGAUGGAGAUAGCAGCGAGGCUGAGUGUGAGUGGACAGACGAUGAAGACUGUGCUGGCACCAGUCAGCGACCUGUUCGGAGAAAUGCUCCGGCAUGUGUGGAGGGGCAGAUUCAUGUUCCUGCUGUUAAGAAGAACAAUGGAAAAAGAGUGUAUAACAAGAGACACUACUGCCUGUACUGUGAGAAGUCAUGCAGCAAAAUUGCAAGACAUCUUCAACUGAAGCACUCUGAUGAAGGUAAAGUCCUGGAAGCCUUCAGUUUUCCAAAGGGCUCAAAGAAAAGAAAACUUCAUCUUGAUUUAAUAAGGAACCAAGGUAAUUUUGCACAUAAUGCAGCUGUCAUGAAAAAGGGGGAAGGAGAACUUGUUGCUUGCAAACGACCAUGCAAGGACAGUAAGAGAGAUGACUACAUGCACUGUGCCUACUGCCAGGGGCUUUUCAUUCGUAAGAUUCUUUGGCGACACAUAAAAGUGUGCCAGUUCCGAUCAAAAGAGGCCAGACCACAACGUGGAAAAAACAAAGUACAAGCUCUCUGUAGUUUUGCAGAACCAGCUCCAGAUGACAUUAGUGAACGAAUAUGGAAGCUGCUCAGUGUUAUGCAGGCUGAUGAAAUCACAAGUGCUGUAAAAAAUGAUCGUCACAUCAUCAGAAUUGCAGAGCAGUUGCUAAACAAAAAAGGAUCAUCUGAUGCAUCUCAAGCCUAUAUUAGGCAGACUCUGAGAGAACUUGGAAGACUUUUGAUUGCUGCGCGAAAUGCUACCACACUUAAGACAAUGGCAGAUUUUAUCAAUCCCAAAAAAUAUGUGGAGGUUGUCAAAGCUGUAAAAUUGACAUGUGGAUAUGAUGAAGAAACUGAAAAAUACAGAGUUCCCUCACUUGCAAAGAAAAUAGGAAAUGCUUUGUCAAAACUCAGCAAAGUUGUAAAGGUCCAGGCUUUAAUUGCUGGAGACAAAGUGUUGGAGAAGAAAGCAACAGACUUUCAAGAAGUCCACAGUGAAAAGUGGAAUGAGCUGGUGUCUGCUACAGCAGCACGCAAUGCUUCAGAAUCACAAUGGAAUGUGCCAACAAUGCUGCCGUUCACUGAGGAUGUGCAAAAACUUCACACCUUUCUGAACAAAAACUGUGAUGAAUGCAGCAGUAACUUGUUGGAAGAGGCAUCAGAAAAGAACUGGUCUGCACUUGCAAAAGUGGUCAUGGCUGAAAUUAUUUUGUUCAACAGACGUAGAGAGGGAGAGGUUUCAAGAAUGCGGCUUUCUUCUUUUCUUACAAGAGACACAUCUACCCCACAUGGAGACAUAGACUGGGCACUUUCUGAGGCUGAGAAAGUUUUAUGCAAACACUUUACAAGGGUCAUUAUCAGAGGGAAAAGAGGACGUGCUGUCCCCAUUUUGCUUACCCCUAAAAUGGUGGAUGCUCUGGAUUUGCUGGUGAAAAAACGAGAUGCU